CCCAGGCUGGAGUGCAGUGUUGCAAUCUCGGCUGCCCAGGCUGGAAGAUGAGGCUGAAAUUUCUAUGUAUUCCAGUGUUACACAUAUCAAUUUUUAUCCAGCUGUGUUGAGUGUUCUUUGCCUUCAGGAGUGGUUUACAGAGAGUAUUGCCAGUUGACAAGAAUAUGUAUUUUCCGAGGUAUUUAAGUUGGAGAUGAGCAAAGAACUCCAGUGUUCCCGAUAAAUAUGCCAAACUGCAGUGCUCUUUGUUGUGAUCAGCAUUUUUAAAGUGCUUGAUGCCUAAAUUAUUUUGUAAUCUGGCCUUUGCCAACUUAACUUCUCAUAGAAUUCUACCAUAUACCCAAGGCAUACAGACAUAACAUGAAAACUCCCUGCCAAAAACAAAACAAAUUCUACUUCAUAGACACUGAGAAAAAGCAGCCAUCUAUGAUCCAGAAAAAUGGGAACUUACCAGACAUUGAAUCUGCCAGCACAUUGACCUUGGAUGUCCCAGUCUCCAGAACUAUGAUUAAUGUUGUUAUGGAAGCUGGAGGCUGAGAAGUCCCAUUAUCUGCCACCAGUACGAGCCAGAAUCCCAGGAAAACUCAUGGUAUAAUUUCAACCUGAAUCCAGAGGCCUGAGAACGAGGAGAGCCACUGAUAUAAAGAAUCCU
RNAcentral lists this long non-coding RNA (652 nucleotides) under Homo sapiens (human). RNAcentral describes it as "HSALNT0293166". Lineage: Eukaryota; Metazoa; Chordata; Mammalia; Primates; Hominidae. The record is from RNAcentral.